Molecule: ribosomal RNA, 429 nt
Filed under: uncultured bacterium
Lineage: Bacteria
Description: bacterial SSU rRNA
Rfam family: Bacterial small subunit ribosomal RNA
Source: RNAcentral
ACGAACGCUGGCGGCAGGCUUAACACAUGCAAGUCGAGCGCCCCGCAGGGGGAGCGGCAGACGGGUGAGUAACGCGUGGGAAUCUACCGAGCCCUACGGAAUAACGCAUGGAAACGUGUGCUAAUACCGUAUACGCCCUACGGGGGAAAGAUUUAUCGGGGUUUGAUGAGCCCGCGUUGGAUUAGCUAGUUGGUGGGGUAAAGGCCUACCAAGGCGACGAUCCAUAGCUGGUCUGAGAGGAUGAUCAGCCACAUUGGGACUGAGACACGGCCCAAACUCCUACGGGAGGCAGCAGUGGGGAAUAUUGGACAAUGGGCGCAAGCCUGAUCCAGCCAUGCCGCGUGAGUGAUGAAGGUCUUAGGAUUGUAAAGCUCUUUCACCGGAGAAGAUAAUGACGGUAUCCGGAGAAGAAGCCCCGGCUAACUUCGU